RNAcentral lists this non-coding RNA (62 nucleotides) under unclassified sequences. Its description in RNAcentral is "RAGATH-18 RNA". It matches the Rfam family "RAGATH-18 RNA". From Rfam's summary of the family: Actinobacteria, Firmicutes, Fusobacteria, Thermotogae (1 example). Nearby to self-cleaving ribozyme genes The record is from Rfam by way of RNAcentral.
CCUGUGGAGAGUUACAGCAAACGUGAGUAGCGAAGGCGAAAACGGACUCGCUGAAGCAGGAA